CCAAGCAAAAAAGAGCGCAGGGUGGAUGCCUUGGCACUAAGAGCCGAUGAAAGACGUGAUAAGCUGCGAAAAGCUUCGGGGAGGAGCAAAUAUCCAAUGAGCCGGAGAUAUCUGAAUGGGGAAACCCACAUGAGAAGACCUCAUGUAUCCAUACGCCAAUCCAUAACGUAUGGAGGGGAACCGGGGGAACUGAAACAUCUAAGUACCCCGAGGAGAAGAAAGAAAACUCGAUUUCCUAAGUAGCGGCGAGCGAACGGGAAAGAGCCCAAACCAGUGUGCGUGCAUGCUGGGGUUCGGACUGUAUCAUUGAUUCCUUGAUUCUACCAGAAUGGUUUUGGGAAAGCCAGCCAGAGAGGGUGAAAGCCCCGUAUGGGAAAGGAAAGAGGACAAGACAGGAUCCAGAGUACCACGAGACACGAGAAACCUUGUGGGAAGGAGCGGGGACCACCCCGUAAGGCUAAAUACUCCUUAGUGACCGAUAGUGCAUAGUACUGUGAAGGAAAGGUGAAAAGGACCCCGGGAGGGGAGUGAAAGAGAACCUGAAACCCUGUGUUUACAAGCUGUGGAACCGCUUUACAUGCGGAACCGCGUACUUUUUGUAGAACGGUCCGGCGAGUUGUGCAUGCUGGCAAGGUUAAGCGCUAAAGGCGUGGAGCCGUAGGGAAACCAAGUCUGAAUAGGGCCAGAGUCAGUAUGUGCAGACCCGAAACCGGGUGAUCUAUCCAUGUCCAGGUUGAAGCUGCCGUAAGAGGCAGUGGAGGACCGAACCCACAUCCGUUGAAAAGGGUGGGGAUGAGGUGUGGAUAGGGGAGAAAUUCCAAUCGAACCCGGAGAUAGCUGGUUCUCCUCGAAAUAGCUUUAGGGCUAGCCUCGAUAGAGAUACAUGGAGGUAGAGCACUGAAUUUCCUAGGGGGCGUCAAAGCCUACCGAAGAAUAUCAAACUCCGAAUGCCAUGGAAUUGAUUAUCGGGAGUCAGACUAUACGAGAUAAGUUGGAUAGUCAAAAGGGAAAGAGCCCAGACCUCCAGCUAAGGUCCCAAAGUACGUGUUAAGUGGAAAAGGAUGUGGGAUUUCGAAGACAACCAGGAUGUUGGCUCAGAAGCAGCCAUACAUUCAAAGAGUGCGUAAUAGCUCACUGGUCGAGAGGUCCUGCGCCGAAAAUGUCCGGGGCUAAAACACGACACCGAAGCUGAGGAAUGUAGUAAUACAUUGGUAGAGGAGCAUUGAAUACGGGAAGAAGCAGUACCGAAAGGAGCUGUGGACUGUAUUGAAGAGAGAAUGCCGGAAUGAGUAGCGAGAAUAAGGUGAGAAUCCUUAUGGCCGAAUAUCUAAGGUUUCCAGGGUAAAGCUGAUCUGCCCUGGGUAAGUCGGGACCUAAGGCGAGGUCGAAAGACGUAGCCGAUGGACAACAGGUUGAGAUUCCUGUACUGCGUUAGAACAGAACUGUGGGGACACGUGUGGAAAGCACAUCCUGGGAAUGGAAUCCCGGGGCAAGCGAAGGAGGAGUCACAUAGGAAAAACCGUGUGGCAAUCCAAAGGCGUGAUGCGGACCGAAUUCGAGUAGGGAAGUGUGUGAGCCAUGCGUCAAGAAAAGCCGCUAUUGUUUGUAACGUACCCGUACCGUAAACCGACACAGGUGGAUGAGGAGAGAAUCCUAAGGCCGACGGAAGAAGCAUUGCCAAGGAACUCGGCAAAAUGACCCCGUAACUUCGGGAGAAGGGGUGCCCGUGUAAAAGCGGGCCGCAGAGAAUAGGCUCAAGCAACUGUUUAGCAAAAACACAGGUCUAUGCGAAACCGAAAGGUGAGGUAUAUGGGCUGACGCCUGCCCGGUGCUGGAAGGUUAAGAGGAGAUGUCAGGAAACGAAGCAUUGAAUUUAAGCCCCAGUAAACGGCGGCCGUAACUAUAACGGUCCUAAGGUAGCGAAAUUCCUUGUCGGGUAAGUUCCGACCCGCACGAAAGGCGUAAUGAUUUGAGCGCUGUCUCGGCAAUGCAUCCGGUGAAAUUGAAGUACCAGUGAAGAUGCUGGUUACCUGCGCCAGGACGGAAAGACCCCAUGGAGCUUUACUCCAGUUUGGUACUGGGAUUCGGUAUUGCAUGUACAGGAUAGGUGGGAGACUAGGAGGUAGUGACGCCAGUUGCUACGGAGUCGAUGUUGGGAUACCACCCUUGCAGUAUUGGGUUUCUAACCAGCCGCCGUGACCCGGCGGUGGGACAAUGCCAGGCGGGGAGUUUGACUGGGGCGGUCGCCUCCGAAAGGGUAUCGGAGGCGCCCAAAGGUUCCCUCAGAAUGGACGGAAACCAUUCGAAGAGUGCAAAGGCAGAAGGGAGCUUGACUGCGACACCGACGGGUGGAGCAGGUACGAAAGUAGGGCUUAGUGAUCCGGUGGUAUUAAGUGGGAGUGCCAUCGCUCAACGGAUAAAAGCUACCCUGGGGAUAACAGGCUUAUCACUCCCAAGAGUUCACAUCGACGGAGUGGUUUGGCACCUCGAUGUCGGCUCAUCGCAUCCUGGGGCUGAAGUAGGUCCCAAGGGUUGGGC
This 2538-nucleotide ribosomal RNA is filed under the name human gut metagenome. Its description in RNAcentral is "bacterial LSU rRNA". It matches the Rfam family "Bacterial large subunit ribosomal RNA", at positions 3 to 2577 of the family's 2925-position model. The record is from RNAcentral.